GAAGAUGGAGGAGGCAAUAUUGUUGAAAUGUUAUUGUUGUCCUUGUUACUCCCAUCAUAAUUUGGUACCUGAAUUAGGUCAGUAAUAGUCUUGAAAUCAGAUGAAAAUCCCAAAUUGAGAUCUUGGCUUCCUUCAAGGAUAAUCUUACUAGGGUUUUGAUCAUGAGGUCGAUUUCCAAAAUGCCUUUCUGGAUAUUCCUCGAUGUUGUCAGGUUGUGGUGGAGGGACAACCAAAUCAGGAAGUUUUUUAUUAUUUACUAUAACAUGAUGAUUAUAAGGAGAUGAAGAUUUCUUGUUUUUUC
RNAcentral lists this unclassified non-coding RNA (301 nucleotides) under Hevea brasiliensis (rubber tree). The record is from RNAcentral. Lineage: Eukaryota; Viridiplantae; Streptophyta; Magnoliopsida; Malpighiales; Euphorbiaceae.